This 484-nucleotide ribosomal RNA is filed under the name uncultured bacterium. RNAcentral describes it as "partial 16S ribosomal RNA". It matches the Rfam family "Bacterial small subunit ribosomal RNA", at positions 30 to 507 of the family's 1533-position model. The record is from RNAcentral.
AUUGAACGCUGGCGGCAGGCCUAACACAUGCAAGUCGAGCGGAUGAAGGGAGCUUGCUCCUGGAUUCGCCGGCGGCCGGUGGGGAAAUGCCUAGAAAUUGGCCGGGAAGGGGGGGAAAACGUCCGAAAACGGGCGCUAAUACGGCUUAGGUCCGUGGGGAGAAAUUGGGGGAUCUUCGGCCUUCACGCUAUCAGAGGAGCCUAGGUCGGAUUAGCUAGUUGGUGGGGUAAAGGCCUACCAAGGCGACGAUCCGUAACUGGUCUGAGAGGAUGAUCAGUCACACUGGAACUGAGACACGGUCCAGACUCCUACGGGAGGCAGCAGUGGGGAAUAUUGGACAAUGGGCGAAAGCCUGAUCCAGCCAUGCCGCGUGUGUGAAGAAGGUCUUCGGAUUGUAAAGCACUUUAAGUUGGGAGGAAGGGCAGUAAGUUAAUACCUUGCUGUUUUGACGUUACCAACAGAAUAAGCACCGGCUAACUUCGUG